GCAUGCGGGGCCUCCGCUGGAGAAUCCCGCUCCACCACCGUGACCAGCAACGAAGUGAGACCAGCGCCAUCAGGACAGAGGGACCCAGCGGACCUUCUUUUCUGACGUCCUUGGGCAUCUCAGAGGGCGUCAGCUUUAGUCUCUCAGAUCCAGAAGCAGAUCAAAGCAGCAGACAGAUGAUCACAAAAGUAACAUGUGCUCCUCUGUGUGUGCCGGGUUAAACCUUGAUCAAGAAUGUUCAGGAUGAAAGACAGCACAAAUAGUUAAAAGGAAAGUCAGAGGUAGAAUGGAUUCAUUCUAAAUUAGCAGCAUGUGAAUAUCCCACAGCACAGUAUACAGAGAACUAUUUCACAAAAGUAUUUGCAGGCUCCAUGUGGCACAGUCCGAGAACUACUGUCCUACAGGAAGCAGGAGAUGAUGGAUACGAAAAUACAGGUGGAAGUGUUACCUAGGCAAGAGGAAGAAAUAUUUAUUCAUCUGAGACAAGAGUAAAAGAAGAUAGAGAGGCACUGGUGAGACAAUAUGAAAAUUUCAAAGUAUCUUCCAGUUUAUUUAUUUUUGUCCCUUGCUGUUUUCCUGUGGCAGGGCAUAGCAGAAUCUUUUAGUAUGCAAUGUUGGGCUUGUAGCUGAGAAGAGAUUUCAGAGCUAAAUAGCCCAGUAAUAUAAAGUGGAAAAGAUGGUAUUUGGAUGAAGCCAAAGGAAGGAGGCUCUCAAAAGAGAUAAG
Long non-coding RNA from Globicephala melas (long-finned pilot whale), 724 nucleotides. RefSeq lists it as uncharacterized. NCBI's taxonomy places the organism in Eukaryota, Metazoa, Chordata, Mammalia, Artiodactyla, Delphinidae. The record is from RefSeq and is a predicted model, not a curated record.